UGAGGAAUAUUGGUCAAUGGACGAGAGUCUGAACCAGCCAAGUAGCGUGAAGGAUGACUGCCCUAUGGGUUGUAAACUUCUUUUAUACGGGAAUAAAGUGGAGUAUGCAUACUCCUUUGUAUGUACCGUAUGAAUAAGGAUCGGCUAACUCCGUGCCAGCAGCCGCGGUAAUACGGAGGAUCCGAGCGUUAUCCGGAUUUAUUGGGUUUAAAGGGAGCGUAGGCGGGUGCUUAAGUCAGUUGUGAAAGUUUGCGGCUCAACCGUAAAAUUGCAGUUGAUACUGGGCGCCUUGAGUGCAGCAUAGGUAGGCGGAAUUCGUGGUGUAGCGGUGAAAUGCUUAGAUAUCACGAAGAACUCCGAUUGCGAAGGCAGCUUACUGGACUGUAACUGACGCUGAUGCUCGAAAGUGUGGGUAUCAAACAGGA
Molecule: ribosomal RNA, 425 nt
Filed under: uncultured bacterium
Lineage: Bacteria
Description: bacterial SSU rRNA
Rfam family: Bacterial small subunit ribosomal RNA
Source: RNAcentral